RNAcentral lists this long non-coding RNA (2123 nucleotides) under Musa acuminata (dwarf banana). RNAcentral's name for it is "long non-coding RNA (MACU_LNC006816)". Lineage: Eukaryota; Viridiplantae; Streptophyta; Magnoliopsida; Zingiberales; Musaceae. The record is from RNAcentral.
AAUUAACUAGCAGUGAUUCUAUUAAUAUAUGUGAAAAGAAUAAAAAUUGUAUCACUUGAAUCGAGUCAAAUAAGAGGUCGUGGCCAUUCAUCAGGAGGAAAGAAUAGUUCUGCAGGCCUGCAACAUAUCGGAUUGGCAGCAUUAAGAGAAAUGUGCAGGCCUGCAGCAUAGGGGAUUGGUGGUGUUAGUGAACAAUAGUACUGUGGCUGAUGAGUCAGCAUGGUUAGGUCUGCGGGUCAAUGUCGGGGACUUCUGGUGGAGUGAAUGGGAUGAUGAGGUGGCUGCACCUCUUGAGCGUCUCGGGCGUGAGUCGGACCGGCGGGGUCGGUCGAGCUCAGGUGAGUGGAUGCGGGUCAGCGCUCUAUGGUCUGCCGACUAGAGUGUUGUCUGUGGUGGGUCGCGUCCUUUCGUCCCCGGGGUGGUAGGCAGCUUUUCUUCGCGACGUGGCCGCACCCUCGGGAAGGGGUGCUAGUUGGCGUUGGUCGGGAUCCGGGCCGACGGAUUGCUCUGCUUUGCGCACCGGAUGGCGAUUCCCGGGUGGAGACGUUCGCCGCUCGGGGGUGAUCGCCUCCCUGCAAAAAUGGCAUUUGUCGGGUGUUUCCCGACUUUGGCCCCUCCGACGAGCAAGUCAGUCGAGUAUUCUUUUUUUCCUGCUUUUUUUCGUGUCCCCUAGGCCGGGCGUCGGACAUGGGUUUUUAUACCAGCGUGCGAGGAUUGGUCGCGCCUCGGUUCGGCGUGGCCGCUGACUUUCGUGGGGGCGGGACGACUUCUCUGACGAGUUGGCGUCUUUGGGGGUGCCUGAGCGGCAUCAGACAGCACCGCCACGAGCUCUCGGGGUGGUCAUGUCGCACAGUGUAUCGGUACGGAACCCGACGUGGCGUGCACCUCGGGGUUCUGAUGGCAUAUGGCGUCGAGUUUGUGGCUGAUGGGGUGUGACGUCGCUGGUGAUUCAUCUGGGGCCAAAAUAUGCCCUAUCAGGUGGCAUUAGAGGGAAUGCUGUUCAAGGGAUGGAUUUUAGAUGGGAACAAAGAAGUAUAUGCCAACAACAUUCUUGGGAUGUGGAUGGGCAAGGCAGCUGCAGAGCUAACAACAUAAAUGAAUUACAAUCUAGAACUUGAUGCGCUCAAAAGACCAUUGACGUGGCAAGUACUCAUGUAAACUACACAACCCACACUCUCAGUCAUUUAUAUUUGGAAAAGAGCCCUUAGGAAACCGAGAUGUUUUAUUUUUAAACCAUAUAACUUCUAUAAUAGCAAUUAUAUCUCGUACAAUUAACAUUCAUGUGUUUUCACAAAAAAAUAAACAUUUACUUUGACUUUCCUUUUUAAAUACAAGUAUACAACAACAAACCGCAAUGUCCCACAUGAAUUUUUUUUCAUCAAGUUUUGUAUAAAUUCAUAUCCUUAAUUAAAUCAGGAGCAUUUUAUUUUUAUUUAUAUUUUCUAGGAAAGUCUCCUUAGCCUUUCUUCUAUCUCUCCUCAUACUAAUGUUAAUCAUAUCAUCUUACUAAAGUGUCCAUAGAUCUCUUUAAAACAUGCCCAUGCUAUGUUUAUUUUUUUUGGAUGAAAAUAAAUUUUAUUUUUCAUAAAAAAAUUAUAUAUCCAUCUUAGCAUUCUUAUUUUAGCAACAUAAUAUUUUUGUACAUGUUGCAUCUUAAUCAUCCAACACUUGGAUUCAUAAAUUCCAUAAAGCAUCACUGCCUAAUAAUUAUUUUAUUAAAAAACUCUUUUUAACAUAAAGAGUAGCUGUUAAUGCUGUUAAUCGCACAAAAUUUCCGAUGCACCUUUUCACUUUAACCAUCCAAUUUUAAUCCCUGAAGUAUGAAUAAUAUCGUCAAUCUAUGAAGUAUGAAUAAUAUAUAAAUUGCUUCAUCUUGUUAAAUAAUUGAUCUAAAUUUUUGAUCUAUGAAGUAUGAAUAAUUUCGUCAUUGAUCGCUUCAUCUUGUCCAAUAAUUAAUCUGAAUUACUUGAAGACUUUACUUGUUUGGAACUUUUUGUCCACCCAACUUAACUAUAUCAUUUUUUAUUAUUAAAUUUACAUAUAUAUUCGAUCUUUGUAAACAUAUUGUUUCUUAGAUUUACCAUUAUAAUUAAAGUUAGAAAUUAGUUUUAUUUAAACUGUCA